Dipodomys ordii (Ord's kangaroo rat) is the source of this 130-nucleotide small nucleolar RNA. The record is from Ensembl. Lineage: Eukaryota; Metazoa; Chordata; Mammalia; Rodentia; Heteromyidae.
GAGAUAUGUUCAGAGCAGGAGUGUAGAACAAUAGCUCUUCUGUUUAUGACACCCCUAAUACCAAUGUGUGGGCUUUCGUGAGGAAGCAAACAAAAAUGUGUGCGUUCCUGCGAAUAAAUGCCCUGUAUGU